CUCGCCGAGGAAGAUCGGUAAGGAGAUGCUGUCGCGGAAGAACUCCGACGACAAAGGUGCUUCAGUUAAUGAAACAUAUGCCACUAUUGUUAUUGCUAGAAAAAAAAUUCUUAAUUGGAACAUUUUAACUAACUAUUGUGCCACGUGGAUAAACUAACUCACGGAUGGCCUCAGGUGGUCCUACCGAUCAAGUCCAAGUGACAAAGGUGCUCAACGAUCUAGAGCCGUGGUGGCCGUGUCCGGACGGCACAGUACAGAAAUGUGAACUCGUUGCAUUCAAACUCUAUUGCAAAUGCGUGCCUAAAGACGGUGCAGGUCUCACCGGUCCAUCCAUGUCGGCGCCGGCGCACUCGGCGAGGAAGAAGGACGGCGACGAUGUCGCCGUGAGCGACGGUAACUAGCUAGCGC
RNAcentral lists this long non-coding RNA (408 nucleotides) under Triticum aestivum (bread wheat). RNAcentral describes it as "long non-coding RNA (TAES_LNC010920)". The record is from RNAcentral. Lineage: Eukaryota; Viridiplantae; Streptophyta; Magnoliopsida; Poales; Poaceae.